Molecule: long non-coding RNA, 885 nt
Filed under: Eucalyptus grandis
Lineage: Eukaryota; Viridiplantae; Streptophyta; Magnoliopsida; Myrtales; Myrtaceae
Description: long non-coding RNA (EGRA_LNC000174)
Source: RNAcentral
GGGAAUAGAUUUGAAAUUUAAAAAAAAUGAAAAAAAAAGUUACUUCUUUGUUCCCAAAAGCAUUUCUGAAAUCCAAUCAUUUUCUUCUUUAUCUUCUUUUUCUUUUCUUCUUCUUCCUCCUCUAGCUGAUCCCCAAGCUCGGCAGUGGCCCUUGCCGAAGCCUCACUGGCCCUUAGCGAGGCUUCACCUCACCUAGAUCGAGGCUCAAUCCCUUGCAACCUCUCCCGCCCUCAAUCAUGUGCCACUUCAAGCUACAUCAUGCGCUGCCUCGACCUCAUAUCCCAAAUCGAUCUCAAGCACCAAGGAGCCAAGGUGGACUCGAGGGCUUAAAUCAUCCACCGAUGAGCCAAGAUUUGGCUUGCGGCCAAACCAAGCCCUAGUUCUGGUGCUCAUCAUCGUCGCCACCCCACUCACAUAACUGUGGCGUCAACAAGGCAGAAGCGACCGACAACAGGACAACGUCAAUGAAGAGGGAUGAACGAGAGACAGAGCAAGGACACGAUGAGGACAUGGGUUGGAGAAGAGGCGGGAAGGUAGUGAACGGCGUUGACGAGCACUCCAAGACGAUGGAGGUGGUGGCUAGCGGCAGGGGAGGUGGUGCCAAAGCUGGACUUUGAGGCUACGGUUUUCAAAUUCUUUAGAUAAAAAAAGAGAGGUAGGUCAUUUUUAUUGGAACAUGAUUCAUACUCCCAUCAAUAGAGAGGCGCGGGAGUCUCGCUUCCCAAUGAGUGAUGGGGAUCUAGGGGUAAUGCUUCUGGCUACUAAAGGGCUUUUGUAAUUUGAGCUUGUAUUUUAUUAAUAGUUUGAGAUUGAAAUGUAUAUAGCUAUUGCUAUCUAUACAUAAUCUAUUUCUCUUGUAAUUGAGAGUUGCAACAAAAAAGUGUG